Small nucleolar RNA from Phyllopteryx taeniolatus (common seadragon), 65 nucleotides. RefSeq annotates it as small nucleolar RNA U54. The record is from RefSeq and is a predicted model, not a curated record. The transcript has a single exon. Lineage: Eukaryota; Metazoa; Chordata; Actinopteri; Syngnathiformes; Syngnathidae.
UAGUGGUGAGGAUAUACAUUUGACUGAUAACCCUGAUGUCUGGAAUACGCUAUUCUGAGCUAUUA